AUUGAACGCUGGCGGCAGGCUUAACACAUGCAAGUCGAACGGUAGCAGGAGAAAGCUUGCUUUCUUGCUGACGAGUGGCGGACGGGUGAGUAAUGCUCGGGAAUCUGGCUUAUGGAGGGGGAUAACGACGGGAAACUGUCGCUAAUACCGCGUAUUAUCGGAAGAUGAAAGUGCGGGACUGAGAGGCCGCAUGCCAUAGGAUGAGCCCAAGUGGGAUUAGGUAGUUGGUGGGGUAAAUGCCUACCAAGCCUGCGAUCUCUAGCUGGUCUGAGAGGAUGACCGGCCACACUGGGACUGAGAUACGGCCCAGACUCCUACGGGAGGCAGCAGUGGGGAAUAUUGCACAAUGGGCGCAAGCCUGAUGCAGCGACGCCGCGUGGGGGAUGACGGCCUUCGGGUUGUAAACUCCUUUCAGCACAGACGAAGCGCAAGUGACGGUAUGUGCAGAAGAAGGACCGGCCAACUACGUGCCAGCAGCCGCGGUAAUACGUAGGGUCCGAGCGUUGUCCGGAAUUACUGGGCGUAAAGAGCUCGUAGGUGGUUUGUCGCGUUGUUCGUGAAAACUCACAGCUUAACUGUGGGCGUGCGGGCGAUACGGGCAGACUUGAGUACUGCAGGGGAGACUGGAAUUCCUGGUGUAGCGGUGGAAUGCGCAGAUAUCAGGAGGAACACCGGUGGCGAAGGCGGGUCUCUGGGCAGUAACUGACGCUGAGGAGCGAAAGCGUGGGGAGCGAACAGG
Molecule: ribosomal RNA, 739 nt
Filed under: uncultured Fusobacterium sp.
Lineage: Bacteria; Fusobacteriati; Fusobacteriota; Fusobacteriia; Fusobacteriales; Fusobacteriaceae
Description: bacterial SSU rRNA
Rfam family: Bacterial small subunit ribosomal RNA
Source: RNAcentral